AGUGAACGCUGGCGGUAGGCCUAACACAUGCAAGUCGAACGGCAGCACAGAGGAGCUUGCUCCUUGGGUGGCGAGUGGCGGACGGGUGAGGAAUACAUCGGAAUCUACUCUGUCGUGGGGGACAACGUAGGGAAACUUACGCUAAUACCGCAUACGACCUACGGGUGAAAGCAGGGGACCUUCGGGCCUUGCGCGAUUGAAUGAGCCGAUGUCGGAUUAGCUAGUUGGCGGGGUAAAGGCCCACCAAGGCGACGAUCCGUAGCUGGUCUGGGAGGAUGAUCAGCUACACUGGAACUGAGACACGGGCCAGACUCCUACGGGAGGCAGCAGUGGGGAAUAUUGGACAAUGGGCGCAAGCCUGAUCCAGCCAUACCGCGUGGGUGAAGAAGGCCUUCGGGUUGUAAAGCCCUUUUGUUGGGAAAGAAAUCCAGCUGGCUAAUACCCGGUUGGGAUGACGGUACCCAAAGAAUAAGCACCGGCUAACUUCGUCCCAGCCGCCGCAGUAA
RNAcentral lists this ribosomal RNA (506 nucleotides) under uncultured bacterium. Its description in RNAcentral is "partial 16S ribosomal RNA". It matches the Rfam family "Bacterial small subunit ribosomal RNA", at positions 29 to 523 of the family's 1533-position model. The record is from RNAcentral.